This 309-nucleotide signal recognition particle RNA is filed under the name Macaca fascicularis (crab-eating macaque). RNAcentral's name for it is "Metazoan signal recognition particle RNA (ENSMFAG00000058221.1)". It matches the Rfam family "Metazoan signal recognition particle RNA". Rfam says of the family: The signal recognition particle (SRP) is a universally conserved ribonucleoprotein. It is involved in the co-translational targeting of proteins to membranes. Lineage: Eukaryota; Metazoa; Chordata; Mammalia; Primates; Cercopithecidae. The record is from RNAcentral.
GCCAGGCACAGUAGCUCACACCUGUAAUCCCAGCACUUUGGGAGGCCGAGGUGGGUGAAUCACCUGAGGUCAGGAGUUUGAGAGCAGCCUGGCCAACCUGGUGAAACCCCGUCUCUACUAAAAAUACAAAAAUUAGCUGGGGGUGGUGGUGGGCGCCUGUAAUCCCAGCUACUUGGGAGGCUGAGACAGGAGAAUUACAGGCCCCCACCACCACGCCCGGCUAAUUUUUGUAUUUUUAGUAGAGAUGGGGUUUCACCAUGUUGGCCAGGUUGGUCUCGAACUCCUGACCUCAGGUGAUCCUCCCACCUU